UUUAAUUUGAAGCAACGCGAAGAACCUUACCUAGACCUGACAUCUCCUGAAUUCCUGUUAAUCGAGGAAGUCCCUUCGGGGACAGGAAGACAGGUGGUGCAUGGUUGUCGUCAGCUCGUGUCGUGAGAUGUUGGGUUAAGUCCCGCAACGAGCGCAACCCUUAUUGUUAGUUGCUACCAUUAAGUUGAGCACUCUAGCGAGACUGCCCGUGAUAACCCGGAGGAAGGUGGGGAUGACGUCAAAUCAUCAUGCCCCUUAUGUCUAGGGCUACACACGUGCUACAAUGGCAAGUACAAAAAGAUGCAAUAUCGCAAGGUGGAGCUAAACUUAAAAACUUGUCUCAGUUCGGAUUGUAGGCUGAAACUCGCCUACAUGAAGCUGGAG
RNAcentral lists this ribosomal RNA (384 nucleotides) under uncultured bacterium. Its description in RNAcentral is "bacterial SSU rRNA". It matches the Rfam family "Bacterial small subunit ribosomal RNA", at positions 945 to 1331 of the family's 1533-position model. The record is from RNAcentral.